GUAUGAAAAAGGCAAACUACAGGAAACUGUAGGACGCAAAGCGAGGAGUCUAAGACUGAAUACUAACUCAGUUAUGAUAGUCCAGCCGCCAUA
Molecule: non-coding RNA, 93 nt
Filed under: Acetoanaerobium sticklandii
Lineage: Bacteria; Bacillati; Bacillota; Clostridia; Peptostreptococcales; Filifactoraceae
Also listed under: 2 other names
Description: Clostridium sticklandii c-di-GMP sequence
Rfam family: c-di-GMP-I riboswitch aptamer
About the family: GEMM was predicted in a large-scale screen for bacterial structured RNA regulatory elements. Genes associated with GEMM are involved in a diverse array of functions, including chemotaxis regulation, signal transduction, secretion and chitin.
Source: RNAcentral